Molecule: RNA transcript, 2560 nt
Organism: Arachis stenosperma
Lineage: Eukaryota; Viridiplantae; Streptophyta; Magnoliopsida; Fabales; Fabaceae
Gene name: carbon catabolite repressor protein 4 homolog 5-like
Exons: 13
Source: RefSeq, a predicted model, not a curated record
UCGGUAAUUUGACUAAUUUCUCCAAAGCAACCACCGGAGCGAAGACUCGUCCCUGAACCCUAAUUCGCCGCACGUUCCACCGCCAUCAACUUCUCCGACGACAUGGCCAGACGCAACGACAGACUACCUCCACCGGAAAAUCCAAACACCGAUUACCGGUUAAAGUGGAGAAGACCUCAUCGUUCGGGACCAUCAGAUGCUCACUUUAAACGGCGCCGGUUGGCGCCGAAGUCGGAAACUUCGACCGGAACCCACAAACCUCACCGGUUGAACCGGUUUCAAGCCUUUAGUUCUUCGUCCCAAAAUCGUAGAAAGAAGAGAAGAGUUGGAAAAUCCGGCGGCAGCAGCAGCCGCGGAGCGUGUUCCCGAAGAUGGGUUUUUUCUUCCGCAGAUUGUUCCAACUACAAUGAUAAGGUUACUAUAGUUUCAUACAACAUACUCGGUGUUGAAAAUGCGUUAAAGCAUCUGGAUUUGUAUGCGAAUACUCCACGUAGUUUCUUGGAGUGGGAGAGGCGGAAAAGGCUCAUAUUUGAAGAGAUCAAUACCUACAAUGCAAGCGUGUUGUGUUUCCAGGAGGUUGAUCAUUUCAAUGACCUGGAUAAUCUAUUCCAAAACAAUGGCUUCAAAGGUGUUUAUAAGGCUCGCACAGGGGAUGCGCAUGAUGGUUGUGCUUUAUUCUGGAAAGACAAAUUAUUCACUCUUUUGCAUCAAGAAGAUAUAGAGUUCCAAAGAUUUGGUCUCCGUAACAAUGUUGCCCAGCUUUGCGUUUUGGAGGCACGAAAUGAUAAACCAGAAUCCGAAACAUCUGGACUAACAACAGUGACAUCAUCUACCCAAAGAAAAAGAUUUGUAAUAGGAAAUAUACAUGUGCUCUUCAACCCAAAUCGUGGAGACAUCAAACUUGGCCAGGUCAGACUUUUACUUGAUAAAGCUUACAAGUUAUCAGAAGAAUGGGGUAGUAUCCCUGUUAUUAUUGCUGGGGAUUUAAAUAGUCUUCCACAGAGUGCAAUAUAUGAAUUCCUGGCUUCUUCCAAGCUAGACAUCCAAUUGCAUAAUCGCAAAAAUAUGUCCGGACAACUUGAAAUACAGUCCAAUAGCAGAGUUUUCAGAUCACAGAUUGGUUGUGAAGCUAGCAUUUCAAUAUCCCGUUCAAGGCAAUUUCUUCAUGGAUGGACCAUGGAAGAGCUAAACCUUGCAGCUGGCGCAAUUGGAGUCACCAAUCUUCAGCAUCAUCUAAACCUCCGCAGUGCUUACAGUGGUGUUCCUGUAUGGUGUUUUAAUCUGCCAAUCAUAUUUUUGGGUUUCUUCCAACUAAAAUUGUUACAGUCUGCUACUUCUGCUCUUCAGGGGGGAGAAAUUGUCAUUUUAAUUGAAUAUGUUUAUCUUCAGCACCUUCUAGCUCGACAGUACUCAGAAUGGUGCCCUUGUUUUAUGUUUUAAUCUGGCAGCCAUUUUUCCGUCUCUAAUCUAAUUUCUCUUAAAUUGUUUCGAUCUGCUAAUUAUGCUCUUUGGAGCAAGUAGCUUUUUUUUUGUCGGAUAUGUUUCAGUUUCUGGGAAUUGAUAUUUAGAAGUUAAUCUUGCAUAAAUCUCAUAGUUUCUGCUGCAGGGAAACCAUGGCACAAGAGAUGAUAUUGGGGAGCCCUUGGCAACAUCAUACCACUCCAAGUUCAUGGGAACUGUUGAUUAUAUUUGCGGUAAAUAGGCAUUCGGAGGAACUCACUCCAGUAAGAGUUCUUGAAACCUUGCCCAUUGAUAUUCUUAGAAGAACUGGAGGACUCCCCAGUGAGCAAUGGGGAAGUGACCACCUUGCACUUGUAUGCGAAUUAGCUUUUGCAAAUAAUGGGACGGUGUCAUGAUUGUUUCAAUGUGCAACUCUAACCGUUCGGCGUUCCCUGAAUAUGUGGGGUCCAUCCGAGCUUAAAAGGCUUAUUAACAAGGGUGGAGCUUGAGGGGAGCCAAAGCAUUCCAGCGCAUCUCGUUAAAUCCUACAGUUGAUGUCUGCUCUCUUCCUCCUCGGACAUCCCUUGCGCGGCACAGUUAUUUCAUCACAAAGAAGCUUAUCAUUAAGUAGGAUUGUGAAUUGCACCUGAUGAUUGGAAGUAAAUAUCAUGUCACAAACGAGCUGCAAACCCUCCUCACCAGCUCCGAUGUUGCAUGCAAAUGCUUUCAGAUGCUUCAAGCAAUCUCUGCAUAGUGAAAGGGCUAGGUAUGCACUGGUUGAGUUUCAGAGAGUAUUCUAAUUGAGGGCCUCAUCACCCUUUUCUAGCUAUGAUUGUAGAACUCCAAUUCAAUACAAAUUAUGGCAUUAUUUUUAAACCUUCCUACAUUGCAACUCCUUGAUAUUAUGUUAAAAACAUCAGUUUUGUUAAGUCACAUCAUUCUUGUAAUUUUUUUUCUUUUGUUUGCUCAAGUUUCAUGUAACGGCCUAUGACACUACUUUGUUAGCUCUUGCAAUUCAAAAAUAAAAUAAAAUAAUGACUUGUGUCGCCUUCUCUGUAGAAAGGUCCGGAUGAUUAACUUCUGAGUAUACCGGUUUGUUCUUAAUUAGCCUCUCUUAUUU